CAAUAGCGUAUAUUAAAGUUGUUGCGGUUAAAAAGCUCGUAGUUGGAUUUCUGCUGAGAACGGUCGGUCCACUCUUGGAGUGUGUAUCUGAUUCGGUCUUGGCAUCCUCUCGGAAACGGCUGCGCUUCAUUGCGUGGUCGGUGUCCGAGACUUUUACUUUGAGGAAAUUAGAGUGUUCACGGCAGGCUUCCGCCUUGAAUAUAUUAGCAUGGAAUAAUAAUAUAGGAUCUUGGUUCUAUUUUGUUGGUUUCUAGAGCUAAGAUAAUGAUUAAUAGGGACAAUUGGGGGCAUUCGUAUUAACGCGUCAGAGGUGGAAUUCUUGGAUUGCGUUACGACGAACUACUGCGAAAGCAUUUGCCAAGGAUGUUUNCAUUGA
Molecule: ribosomal RNA, 376 nt
Filed under: uncultured eukaryote
Lineage: Eukaryota
Description: partial 18S ribosomal RNA
Rfam family: Eukaryotic small subunit ribosomal RNA
Source: RNAcentral